RNAcentral lists this ribosomal RNA (460 nucleotides) under uncultured bacterium. Its description in RNAcentral is "partial 16S ribosomal RNA". It matches the Rfam family "Bacterial small subunit ribosomal RNA", at positions 338 to 795 of the family's 1533-position model. The record is from RNAcentral.
CCUACGGGUGGCAGCAGUGAGGAAUAUUGGUCAAUGGACGAGAGUCUGAACCAGCCAAGUAGCGUGAAGGAUGACUGCCCUAUGGGUUGUAAACUUCUUUUAUAUGGGAAUAAAAUGAUCCACGUGUGGGAUUUUGCAUGUACCCUAUGAAUAAGCAUCGGCUAACUCCGUGCCAGCAGCCGCGGUAAUACGGAGGAUCCGAGCGUUAUCCGGAUUUAUUGGGUUUAAAGGGAGCGUAGGUGGUUUGUUAAGUCAGUGGUGAAAGUUUGUGGCUCAACCGUACAAUUGCAGUUGAAACUGGCAGUCUUGAGUGCGGUAGAGGUGAGCGGAAUUCGUGGUGUAGCGGUGAAAUGCAUAGAUAUCACGAAGAACUCCGAUUGCGAAGGCAGCUCACUGGGCUACAACUGACACUGAGGCGCGAAAGUGUGGGUAUCAAACAGGAUUAGAUACCCUGGUAGUC